RNAcentral lists this ribosomal RNA (896 nucleotides) under Caponia sp. 1 NCP-2017. Its description in RNAcentral is "partial 16S ribosomal RNA". Lineage: Eukaryota; Metazoa; Arthropoda; Arachnida; Araneae; Caponiidae. The record is from RNAcentral.
GCCGCAGAACUCUGUGCUAAGGUAGCAUAAUAAAUAGCCUUUUAAUUAAAGGAUAGAAUGAAAGAAUACACAAAUUAGAAACUCUACCUUUAAUAAUAAUUAAAACUUUACUAAGAAUAAAAAUAUUCUUAUAUAAAAGAAAGACAACAAGACCCUAUCGAACUUUUACAAUGUUAAACUGGGGCGGUUAAAUAAAAAAACCUUUUUCUAACUAACAGAUCCAAUAAUAUUGAACAUCUGAACAAGUUACCGUAGGGAUAACAGCACUAUUUAAAAUUAAAGAUCCUAUUACAUUUUAAGUUUAUGACCUCGAUGUUGAAUUAGAAAUACUAUUUAAAGCAACUUUUAAUUAAGAAAGUCUGUUCGACUUUUAAAUUUCCACAUGAUUUGAGUUCAGACCGGUGUAAACCAGGUCAGUUUAUAUCUUCUCUUAAAUUAAUCUAGUACGAAAGGACCUAUUAAACUAAAUCAUUUAUCAAUAUAGCAAACAAUUGCAUUAGAAUUAGAAUCUAAUUAACUAAUAAUAAACACUUUAAUAUUCUUAAUUACUUUAAUUAGUAUUCUAAUUAGUGUUGCAUUUUACACUGUUCUAGAACGAAAAAUUCUAAGAUAUAUUCAAAUCCGAAAAGGACCAAAUAAAGUUGGAAUUAUAGGUCUACUUCAACCAUUUAGAGAUGCUAUUAAAUUAUUUAAUAAAACUACUAUUUUUAGAAACCCUUCAAAUUAUGUAAUUACUAUAAUUACCCCUAUACUAGCUUUCAUCUUAAGCCUAAUAAUAUGACCAUUUUUCCCUUUAGCCAACUACAACUUAUUUGAUAAUAAUUACAGAAUUCUUACAUUUCUACUUAUUUCCAGACUAAACGUCUGAAUUUUACUUUUAAUUGGAUGAUCUACAA